UGGGGAAUAUUGGACAAUGGGCGCAAGCCUGAUCCAGCAAUGCCGCGUGUGUGAAGAAGGCCCUCGGGUUGUAAAGCACUUUUAUCAGGAGCGAAAUCUGCCCGGUUAAUACCUGGGUAGUCUGACGGUACCUGAGGAAUAAGCACCGGCUAACUCCGUGCCAGCAGCCGCGGUAAUACGGAGGGUGCAAGCGUUAAUCGGAAUUACUGGGCGUAAAGGGUGCGUAGGCGGUUGUUUAAGUCUGUUGUGAAAUCCCCGGGCUCAACCUGGGAAUGGCAAUGGAUACUGGGCAGCUAGAGUGUGUCAGAGGAUGGUGGAAUUCCCGGUGUAGCGGUGAAAUGCGUAGAGAUCGGGAGGAACAUCAGUGGCGAAGGCGGCCAUCUGGGACAACACUGACGCUGAAGCACGAAAGCGUGGGGAGCAAACAG
RNAcentral lists this ribosomal RNA (428 nucleotides) under uncultured bacterium. Its description in RNAcentral is "bacterial SSU rRNA". It matches the Rfam family "Bacterial small subunit ribosomal RNA", at positions 355 to 775 of the family's 1533-position model. The record is from RNAcentral.